Molecule: long non-coding RNA, 581 nt
Filed under: Chrysemys picta bellii (western painted turtle)
Lineage: Eukaryota; Metazoa; Chordata; Testudines; Emydidae
Description: lncRNA (ENSCPBG00000005627.1)
Source: RNAcentral
AUGACAUUUUCUUUUCAUUUUGUGACCAGUUCCAGUUGCCCUCAGUCAUGGAAAUGGUGGCAGGAACCCCCAAAUCCUUCAACAUCAGGCUCAUCCAUAAAAUCACCUUCCCAACCCUUCCUAUUAGCUGCAAGUGACCCAUCACCUCUGCUGUGCCAAAAGAAGCAGCAACAUAUUUCCCCAGAUAACAAUUGGAACAAGAAGUCAAGCUGUGUAACAUGCAAAUGUUGCAUCAUCCGGGUUCUUGGCAGAUCACUCAGAACAAAGACACCCUGCCUCCUGGAGCUCCUGCCUCACAGGCAUGUGCCCACCCUGGAUGUAACAGAACUAUUAUGAACAUAAAACUGAUUUGGUCUAUGAAGAAUUUUCAAGAUAAUUCAGAUUAUGAUUCAAUGCCUACAAUCCGGGCCUAUUCAGAUUCGUAAUAUAAGCUAUGUGGGGUCACACUGUGCAGAUCGAGAGCUAGGAUAGAAAAGCAUUUCUCUAAAGCUCUAAUGCAGGUUAAAUCCCAUCAGACCCAAUCCUGAAAAAGCAAACAAAGCCCAAAUAAAAAGGCUGCGUUUGUGUGAAAUGCUGAGUGG